AUGGGGUGCAGCAGGCGCGAAACCUUUGCAAUAGGCGAAAGCCUGACAAGGUUACUCUGAGUGAUCUCCGCUAAGGAAAUCUUUUGACACCUCUAAAAAUGGUGUAGAAUAAGGGGUGGGCAAGCCUGGUGUCAGCCGCCGCGGUAAUACCAGCACCCCGAGUGGUCGGGACGAUUAUUGGGCCUAAAGCAUCCGUAGCCGGUUCUUUAGGUCCUCCGUUAAAUCCACCUGCUUAACAGAUGGGCUGCGGAGGAUACUAUAGAGCUAGGAGGCGGGAGAGGCAAGCGGUACUCAGUGGGUAGGGGUAAAAUCCGUUGAUCCAUUGAAGACCACCAGUGGCGAAGGCGGCUUGCCAGAACGCGCUCGACGGUGAGGGAUGAAAGCUGGGGGAGCAAACCGGAUUAGAUACCCGGGUAGUCCCAGCUGUAAACGAUGCAGACUCGGUGAUGAACAGGCUUCGUGCCUGUUCAGUGCCGCAGGGAAGCCGUUAAGUCUGCCGCCUGGGGAGUACGGUCGCAAGACUGAAACUUAAAGGAAUUGGCGGGGGAGCA
RNAcentral lists this ribosomal RNA (551 nucleotides) under uncultured crenarchaeote. Its description in RNAcentral is "bacterial SSU rRNA". It matches the Rfam family "Archaeal small subunit ribosomal RNA", at positions 325 to 878 of the family's 1478-position model. The record is from RNAcentral. Lineage: Archaea; Thermoproteati; Thermoproteota.